Molecule: transfer RNA, 79 nt
Filed under: Ancylobacter tetraedralis
Lineage: Bacteria; Pseudomonadati; Pseudomonadota; Alphaproteobacteria; Hyphomicrobiales; Xanthobacteraceae
Description: tRNA-OTHER
Rfam family: tRNA
About the family: Transfer RNA (tRNA) molecules are approximately 80 nucleotides in length. Their secondary structure includes four short double-helical elements and three loops (D, anti-codon, and T loops).
Source: RNAcentral
GCAGCUGGUAUGUUCCGAGCGGCUACAUAGAGCGAUUUUGCUGAGGUUGGGGUCGUGGGUUCGAAUCCCAUUACCUGUA